ACGUUAUGGUGGGCACUCUAAGGAGACUGCCGGUGACAAACCGGAGGAAGGUGGGGAUGACGUCAAGUCAUCAUGGCCCUUACGGCCUGGGCUACACACGUGCUACAAUGGUCGGUACAGAGGGUUGCCAAGCCGCGAGGUGGAGCUAAUCUCACAAAACCGAUCGUAGUCCGGAUCGCAGUCUGCAACUCGACUGCGUGAAGUCGGAAUCGCUAGUAAUCGCGAAUCAGAAUGUCGCGGUGAAUACGUUCCCGGGCCUUGUACACACCGCCCGUCACACCAUGGGAGUGGGUUGCACCAGAAGUAGCUAGUCUAACCUUCGGGGGGACGGUUACCACGGUGUGAUUCAUGACUGGGGUGAAGUCGUAACAAGGUAGCCGUAGGGGAACCUGCGGCUGGAUCACCUCCUUAA
Molecule: ribosomal RNA, 412 nt
Filed under: Pseudomonas caricapapayae
Lineage: Bacteria; Pseudomonadati; Pseudomonadota; Gammaproteobacteria; Pseudomonadales; Pseudomonadaceae
Description: bacterial SSU rRNA
Rfam family: Bacterial small subunit ribosomal RNA
Source: RNAcentral